AAAUUGAAGAGUUUGAUCAUGGCUCAGAUUGAACGCUGGCGGCAGGCCUAACACAUGCAAGUCGAACGGUAACAGGAAGCAGCUUGCUGCUUUGCUGACGAGUGGCGGACGGGUGAGUAAUGUCUGGGAAACUGCCCGAUGGAGGGGGAUAACUACUGGAAACGGUAGCUAAUACCGCAUAACGUCGCAAGACCAAAGAGGGGGACCUUCGGGCCUCUUGCCAUCGGAUGUGCCCAGAUGGGAUUAGCUAGUAGGUGGGGUAAUGGCCCACCUAGGCGACGAUCCCUAGCUGGUCUGAGAGGAUGACCAGCCACACUGGAACUGAGACACGGUCCAGACUCCUACGGGAGGCAGCAGUGGGGAAUAUUGCACAAUGGGCGCAAGCCUGAUGCAGCCAUGCCGCGUGUGUGAAGAAGGCCUUCGGGUUGUAAAGCACUUUCAGCGGGGAGGAAGGCAGUACGGUUAAUAACCGUGCUGAUUGACGUUACCCGCAGAAGAAGCACCGGCUAACUCCGUGCCAGCAGCCGCGGUAAUACGGAGGGUGCAAGCGUUAAUCGGAAUUACUGGGCGUAAAGCGCACGCAGGCGGUCUGUCAAGUCGGAUGUGAAAUCCCCGGGCUCAACCUGGGAACUGCAUUCGAAACUGGCAGGCUUGAGUCUUGUAGAGGGGGGUAGAAUUCCAGGUGUAGCGGUGAAAUGCGUAGAGAUCUGGAGGAAUACCGGUGGCGAAGGCGGCCCCCUGGACAAAGACUGACGCUCAGGUGCGAAAGCGUGGGGAGCAAACAGGAUUAGAUACCCUGGUAGUCCACGCCGUAAACGAUGUCGACUUGGAGGUUGUGCCCUUGAGGCGUGGCUUCCGGAGCUAACGCGUUAAGUCGACCGCCUGGGGAGUACGGCCGCAAGGUUAAAACUCAAAUGAAUUGACGGGGGCCCGCACAAGCGGUGGAGCAUGUGGUUUAAUUCGAUGCAACGCGAAGAACCUUACCUGGUCUUGACAUCCACGGAAUUUGGCAGAGAUGCCUUAGUGCCUUCGGGAACCGUGAGACAGGUGCUGCAUGGCUGUCGUCAGCUCGUGUUGUGAAAUGUUGGGUUAAGUCCCGCAACGAGCGCAACCCUUAUCCUUUGUUGCCAGCGGUCCGGCCGGGAACUCAAAGGAGACUGCCAGUGAUAAACUGGAGGAAGGUGGGGAUGACGUCAAGUCAUCAUGGCCCUUACGACCAGGGCUACACACGUGCUACAAUGGCGCAUACAAAGAGAAGCGACCUCGCGAGAGCAAGCGGACCUCAUAAAGUGCGUCGUAGUCCGGAUUGGAGUCUGCAACUCGACUCCAUGAAGUCGGAAUCGCUAGUAAUCGUGGAUCAGAAUGCCACGGUGAAUACGUUCCCGGGCCUUGUACACACCGCCCGUCACACCAUGGGAGUGGGUUGCAAAAGAAGUAGGUAGCUUAACCUUCGGGAGGGCGCUUACCACUUUGUGAUUCAUGACUGGGGUGAAGUCGUAACAAGGUAACCGUAGGGGAACCUGCGGUUGGAUCACCUCCUUACCUUAAAGAA
This 1552-nucleotide ribosomal RNA is filed under the name Enterobacteriaceae bacterium ENNIH1. RNAcentral describes it as "bacterial SSU rRNA". It matches the Rfam family "Bacterial small subunit ribosomal RNA". Lineage: Bacteria; Pseudomonadati; Pseudomonadota; Gammaproteobacteria; Enterobacterales; Enterobacteriaceae. The record is from RNAcentral.